RNAcentral lists this transfer RNA (126 nucleotides) under Ilyonectria sp. MPI-CAGE-AT-0026. Its description in RNAcentral is "tRNA-Ile". Lineage: Eukaryota; Fungi; Ascomycota; Sordariomycetes; Hypocreales; Nectriaceae. The record is from RNAcentral.
GGACAGAUAGCUCAGUGGUAGAGGUAUAUUAAUGGAUGUCUCACAUUGGCAUCCACGAAUGCUAAAAAACGUAUCAGCGAGGGAUUGCAGAUCCCUAGGUCGCGUGUUCGAUCCACGCUCGGUCCU